CAUUCCUUCCCAAUUCUUUCCCCCAUUCUUUCCCCAUUUUUUCCCAAUUCUUUUCCCCCCUUUCCCCACUCUUUUCCUACUUUCCCCAUUUUUUCCCCACUUCUUCCCCAUUUUUUCCCACUUCUUUCCCCAUUCUUUUCCCAUUCCUUCCCAAUUCUUUUCCCAUUCUUUUCCCCCCUUUCCCCAUUAUUUUCCCACUUUCCCCAAUUCUUUUCCCCAUUCUUUUCCCACUUUUCCCCAUUUUUUCCCCACUUUUCCCAUUCUUCCUCCAUUUUUUCUCCAUUUUUCCCCAUUCUUUUCCCAUUCUUUUCCCAUUUCUUCCCAAUUCUUUUCCCAUUCUUUUCCCACUUUUCCCCAUUCUUUUCCCAUUUCUUUCUCCAUUCUUUUCCCCAUUUUUUUCACUUUUCCCCAUUAUUUUCCCACUUUUCCCAUUCUUUCCCCAUUUUUCCCCACUUUUUCCCUAUUCUUUCCCAGUUCUAUUCCCGUUUUCCCACUUUUUCCCAUUUUUUCCUCAUUCUUUUCCCAUUCUUUUCCCAUUCCUUCCCCAUUCUUUUCCCAUUCUUUUCCCCCACUUUCCCCAAUUCUUUUCCCCAUUCUUUUCCCACUUUUCCCCGUUCUUUUCUUGUUUCCCACUUUUUCCCCAUUCUUUUCCCAUUUCUUUCCCCAUUCUUUUCCCCAUUUUUUUUCCCUUUUUCCCCAUUAUUUUCCCACUUUUCCCAUUCUUUCCCCAUUCUUCCCCCAUUCUUUCCCCGUUUUUCCCCACUUUUUCCCUAUUCUUUCCCAGUUCUUUCCCCAUUUUCCCAUUCCUUCCCCAUUCUUUUCCCAUUCUUUUCCCAUUCUUUUCCCCCCUUUCCCCAUUAUUUUCCCACUUUCCCCAAUUCUUUUCCCCAUUCUUUUCCCACUUUUCCCCAUUCUUUUCCCAUUUCCCACUUUUUCCCCAUUCUUUCCCCAUUCUUUUCCCACUUUUCCCCCAUUCUUUCCCAGUUCUAUUCCCCUUUUCCCACUUUUUCCCAUUCCUUUUACAUUCUGUCCCCAUUCUUUUCCCCCCUUUCCCAAUUCUUUCCCACAUUUUUUCCCAUUUUUUCCCAUUCUUUCCCCAUUCUUUUCCCACUUUUCCCUAUUUUUUCCCCAUUCCUUUCCCAUUCUUUCCCCUUUUUUUUCCCAUCAUUUUCCCACUCUUUCCCCACUUUUUCCCACUUUUUCCCAUUCUUUUCCCAUUCUUUCCCCACUCUUUUCCCCAUUUUCUCUCCAUUCUUUUCCCACUUUUCCCAUUCUUUCCCCAUUUUUCCCAAUCUCUCUGCAUUCCUUUCCCCCAUUCUUUCCCCUUUUUUUUCCCAUCAUUUUCCCACUUUUUCCCCAUUUUUUCCCACGUUUUUCCCACUUUUUUCCCAUUCUUUCCCCCACUCUUUUCCCCAUUUUUUCCCCAUUCUUUUCCCACUUUUCCCAUUCUUUCUCCAUUUUUCCCAUUCUCUCUGCCUUCCUUUCCCCCAUUCUUUCCCCAUUUUUUCCCACUUUUCCCUAUUUUUUCCCCAUUCCUUUCCCAUUCUUUCCCCUUUUUUUCCCAUCAUUUUCCCACUCUUUCCCCACUCUUUUCCCCAUUUUUUCUCCAUUCUUUUCCCACUUUUCCCAUUCUUUCUCCAUUUUUCCCAUUCUCUCUGCCUUCCUUUCCCCCAUUCUUUCCCCAUUUUUUCCCACUUUUCCCUAUUUUUUCCCCAUUCCUUUCCCAUUCUUUCCCCUUUUUUUUCCCAUCAUUUUCCCACUCUUUCCCCACUUUUUCCCACUUUUUCCCAUUCUUUUCCCAUUCUUUCCCCACUCUUUUCCCCAUUUUCUCUCCAUUCUUUUCCCACUUUUCCCAUUCUUUCCCCAUUUUUCCCAAUCUCUCUGCAUUCCUUUCCCCCAUUCUUUCCCCUUUUUUUUCCCAUCAUUUUCCCACUUUUUCCCCAUUUUUUCCCACGUUUUUCCCACUUUUUUCCCAUUCUUUCCCCCACUCUUUUCCCCAUUUUUUCCCCAUUCUUUUCCCACUUUUCCCAUUCUUUCUCCAUUUUUCCCAUUCUCUCUGCCUUCCUUUCCCCCAUUCUUUCCCCAUUUUUUCCCACUUUUCCCUAUUUUUUCCCCAUUCCUUUCCCAUUCUUUCCCCUUUUUUUUCCCAUCAUUUUCCCACUCUUUCCCCACUUUUUCCCACUUUUUCCCACUUUUUUCCCAUUCUUUCCCCCACUCUUUUCCCCAUUUUUUCCCCGUUCCUACCCCAAUUUUCCCCACUUUUCCCCCAUUAUUUCCCCAUUCCUUCCCCCCAUUUUUUCCCCAUUUUUCCCCAUUUUUUCCCCAUUUUCCCCCAUUUUCCCCU
Long non-coding RNA from Cyanistes caeruleus (blue tit), 2344 nucleotides. NCBI's taxonomy places the organism in Eukaryota, Metazoa, Chordata, Aves, Passeriformes, Paridae. The record is from Ensembl.